This is a long non-coding RNA of Bos taurus (domestic cattle), 1498 nucleotides long. The record is from Ensembl. Lineage: Eukaryota; Metazoa; Chordata; Mammalia; Artiodactyla; Bovidae.
GCUGCCUCCCCCAGUCUGGGCAAAGCUUCACGGGUACUUCACAGAUUCCAGCCCAUCUGUGCACCUGCUUUUAGACUCCUUUUAUGCUUACUACAGCGCUGAAGGCAGAGACCCCAAGAUUCAUGUGAGGCCCAAGCAAUACCAGCUAAGAUUGCCCCUCAAAGUCAGGGAAGCCUCAUGGACAGAGAAGCCUGACAGGCUACAGUUCAUGGGAUUCUCCAGGCAAGAAUAUUGGAGUGGAUUGCCAUUUCCUUCUCCAGGGGAUCUUUUCAACCCAGGAAUUGAACCUGGGUAUCCUGCAUUGUAGGCAGAUUCUUUACCAACUCAGCAACAAGAUGUGUGGAGACGUAGAGUCCCCCUCUCUGCCUAGCACAGCGCCUUGAUCAUGGUAACUACAACACUUGAUGGAAAAGCCAGAACAUUUCCUCACAAUUAAUGGUGACCCAGUGAGAGUCGCUGAUCCCCAGGAUUCCCAGCUGCUCUUCUGCAAGCAGCUGCUGGGUGAUAAAACUGAGAAAAAGAAGUUAAAAAUCUUGCCCAAAUUUGCACAGCUAACAAAUUGUUGAUAUUGGCUUGAACUUGAGUGGUCUGACCCCUGAGUCUGCACUCCUGACCACAAUUCUGGACUUCCUCCUACUUUGCCAACAUAGAAUAUAGAAAGAUCAUGUGAACAUUAUGUUGAAUUUCCCUCUCUGGCUCCACUUUUCAUCCUUUUCCAUCCAGCCUUGUAAAGUGGGAAGAUUAUGGAAUGGACUAUAUUAACAGGUUCCUUGAUCCUCCAGCUACUGGCUGGGUUUUGUCAACAGGGAAUGCUUUGCAGAAGACUGAAGGGAGGGAGAUGGUGAUGGCACAGGGUUUAUUUCUCUCCCUGCUGAGAGGCUAAGGGCUGUGUCAUUCUGAAGAAGGAUUCUGUUCCUUUCACGGGGGCUUCUAUGAGAUGCUUUCCUUCCAUUUUCCGGUAACCAUCUCAUCUCUUUGGGCCUAGGGAUGGCUAACAACUGUGCCAUCUUGUGAUUCUCCUAUCCAACCACAGUUAAAUUGCCCCUUUGUAAAUCAGCUCUCUCAAACAUCCCAUUUUAAGUGUCCUAGUUAGAAUCCAAACUGAUGCAAGGUGUGAUCUCUGUUUUUAAAAAGCUGACAUAGAGUACUUGGGGCAUAUACCUCAGGAACAGGAAAGCUGAAGACUGUAUAAAAAGAGAUCAUCUGUAGGAGUAAGGUUGAUGGUUACAAACUAAGGUGUUUUAAGUUGCAUAUUCCUGGCCACCUGCAUCUUAUUCUCCAUUCUUAUUUUCCUCUUUAGCUGUAGAGAUGUCUGUAAAGCAUGCUGCAUGGCGAUCAAGAUGCGCUCUGAAGUUUUGCAAUCUCCGUGUCAGAAGUAAUUAUAGCAAAGUAAUUCUCACACUGGUUUUCAGAGCAAUUUACAGAGCUUGUGACACGCAUGGACAUUGAAUCAUAGAGCAUUUUAUAGACAACUCUUUAUUUGGAACAGAUUCACGAG